Molecule: long non-coding RNA, 1054 nt
Organism: Orbicella faveolata
Lineage: Eukaryota; Metazoa; Cnidaria; Anthozoa; Scleractinia; Merulinidae
Source: RefSeq, a predicted model, not a curated record
AUUUAUUUAUUACAAUUUAAUGGGAAUUAAAUUUAAGUCUAAAGGCAUACACAAACAGGCAAAGCCAUAAGGACAAUCUGUAGAAGAGUUAUUUGUGACCUGUGGAGGUCUAACUGUAGUGAGUAGUUAUGUUGUGCCUCUUAGCAAGCAUUGUCUGACAAUGCACCAAACAAAAUGUAUGUCCUUAUAAGACACAUGGAAAUACUUAGUGGGAAUAAUAAAGUUAUUGUUAGUAAUGCAACACAACAUGAAGUAAUGCAAUAAUAGUCCUUUGCUAUUCCACUAUUAUUCCAUGUUACCAUAUGAGUCCAAGAGAAUGCAGCAAAUAUGUAUAUGCUUGUACUGCACUGCAGCGUUGUAUUUUGUUUUUGUCAUUUGCACAUGGUUUAACUUCUUGCUCAUUGCUGGUUUAAUGAUGGUUUAACUCAUUUGCACAUUGCUCAUACCUUUAAUUUCGUUGCAGCUUUGGGUGUGGGAAAAAUACUAUGCAAUAGCAUGCAUAUUGUAUGUUAAACCAUGCCCACUAUCACUUGGUCAAUACAGCAAGGUCUCGGUCUGAGAUUUUCCUGUUAAGACCUUAACAGUUAAUACCUACUUAGUUAAUAAGUAGGUAUGAGUGUCUAGUGUGACACAGAAUCCUAUUCUAUUUUACAGGAAACAGCUCUCCACCUGGCAGUUAGAUCUCAGCAAAAGAAAAUUGUUAAGCUGUUAUUGCAGUUCAAAGCUGAUAUUCAUGCUACUGAUUGCCAUUUGCGCACGCCCCUUCAUACUGCCUGUGAUGAAAAUGACGACACUAACAUAAUUGCAUUAAUUCUAAAAUGUGAAGGUGUUAAUGUUAAUGCCAAAGAUGGGUAUGGAAACACUUCUGUAAAGCUUGCUGCAGAAAAGGGAAACAGCGAUGCUGUGAGGCUGCUUAUGGAGAAAGGGGCAGUUGUCACCAUACCUGAUGAUGUAAGUAGUCUACUGAACACAUAAUUUCAGGACUGGACUGUAUAAAAUGCCAAGUUUUAUUAAUUAGCUGGAAAGAGGAGUGGGCCAAGCAAGUUAGGUAUUA